UAGGGAAUCUUCCACAAUGGACGCAAGUCUGAUGGAGCAACGCCGCGUGAGUGAAGAAGGUUUUCGGAUCGUAAAGCUCUGUUGUUGGUGAAGAAGGAUAGAGGUAGUAACUGGCCUUUAUUUGACGGUAAUCAACCAGAAAGUCACGGCUAACUACGUGCCAGCAGCCGCGGUAAUACGUAGGUGGCAAGCGUUGUCCGGAUUUAUUGGGGGUAAAGCGAGCGCAGGCGGAAGAAUAAGUCUGAUGUGAAAGCCCUCGGCUUAACCGAGGAACUGCAUCGGAAACUGUUUUUCUUGCGUGCAGAAGAGGAGCGUGGAAUUCCAUGUGUAGCGGUGGAAUGCGUAGAUAUAUGGAAGAACACCAGUGGCGAAGGCGACUCUCUGGUCUGCAACUGACGCUGAGGCUCGAAAGCAUGGGUAGCGAACAGG
This 429-nucleotide ribosomal RNA is filed under the name bacterium. RNAcentral describes it as "partial 16S ribosomal RNA". It matches the Rfam family "Bacterial small subunit ribosomal RNA", at positions 355 to 776 of the family's 1533-position model. The record is from RNAcentral.